RNAcentral lists this ribosomal RNA (494 nucleotides) under uncultured bacterium. Its description in RNAcentral is "partial 16S ribosomal RNA". It matches the Rfam family "Bacterial small subunit ribosomal RNA", at positions 28 to 507 of the family's 1533-position model. The record is from RNAcentral.
GACGAACGCUGGCGGCGCGCUUAACACAUGCAAGUCGAACGGAAAGGCCUGCUUUCCCUUGUGGAUUGCGGGUACUCGAGUGGCGAACGGGUGAGUAACACGUGAGUGAUCUGCCCCCAACUUGGGUAUAAGCCUGGGAAACUGGGUCUAAUUCCCGAUAGGACUGCAGGGUGGUGCCUGUGGUGGAAAACGAUUUUCUAGUGGUUGGGGAUGAGCUCGCGGCCUAUCAGCUUGUUGGUGGGGUAAUGGCCUACCAAGGCGGCGACGGGUAGCCGGCCUGGGAGGGUGGACGGCCACAUUGGGACUGGGACACGGCCCAGACUCCUACGAGAGGCAGCAGUGGGGAAUAUUGCACAAUGGGCGGAAGCCUGAUGCAGCGACGCCGCGUGGGGGAUGACGGCCUUCGGGUUGUAAACUCCUUUCGACCGCGAGGAAGCCACCUGGUUGGAAGGGUGGUGACGGUAGUGGUAGAAGAAGCACCGGCUAACUACGUG